GAUGAACGCUGGCGGCGUGCCUAAUACAUGCAAGUCGAGAGAACGGACGAGAAGCUUGCUUUUCUGAUGUUAGCGGCGGACGGGUGAGUAACACGUGGAUAACCUACCUAUAAGACUGGGAUAACUUCGGGAAACCGGAGCUAAUACCGGAUAAUAUUUUGAACCGCAUGGUUCAAAAGUGAAAGACGGUCUUGCUGUCACUUAUAGAUGGAUCCGCGCUGCAUUAGCUAGUUGGUAAGGUAACGGCUUACCAAGGCAACGAUGCAUAGCCGACCUGAGAGGGUGAUCGGCCACACUGGAACUGAGACACGGUCCAGACUCCUACGGGAGGCAGCAGUAGGGAAUCUUCCGCAAAGGGCGAAAGCCUGACGGAGCAACGCCGCGUGAGUGAUGAAGGUCUUCGGAUCGUAAAACUCUGUUAUUAGGGAAGAACAUAUGUGUAAGUAACUGUGCACAUCUUGACGGUACCUAAUCAGAAAGCCACGGCUAACUACGUG
RNAcentral lists this ribosomal RNA (497 nucleotides) under uncultured bacterium. Its description in RNAcentral is "partial 16S ribosomal RNA". It matches the Rfam family "Bacterial small subunit ribosomal RNA", at positions 28 to 507 of the family's 1533-position model. The record is from RNAcentral.